CCUACGGGAGGCAGCAGUGAGGAAUAUUGGUCAAUGGACGAGAGUCUGAACCAGCCAAGUAGCGUGAAGGAUGACUGCCCUAUGGGUUGUAAACUUCUUUUAUAUGGGAAUAAAAUGUUCCACGUGUGGGAUUUUGUAUGUACCAUAUGAAUAAGGAUCGGCUAACUCCGUGCCAGCAGCCGCGGUAAUACGGAGGAUCCGAGCGUUAUCCGGAUUUAUUGGGUUUAAAGGGAGCGUAGGUGGAUUGUUAAGUCAGAUGUGAAAUCCCGCGGCUCAACCGCGGAACUGCAUUUGAAACUGUUUUUCUUGAGUACCGGAGAGGUCAUCGGAAUUCCUUGUGUAGCGGUGAAAUGCGUAGAUAUAAGGAAGAACACCAGUGGCGAAGGCGGAUGACUGGACGGCAACUGACGGUGAGGCGCGAAAGCGUGGGGAGCAAACAGGAUUAGAUACCCUAGUAGUC
Molecule: ribosomal RNA, 460 nt
Filed under: uncultured bacterium
Lineage: Bacteria
Description: partial 16S ribosomal RNA
Rfam family: Bacterial small subunit ribosomal RNA
Source: RNAcentral